UCCUUUUUGUACUAUUGUUGGGUCUUUACUUCGCAAUAUAAAGCGCUUGUGAUUUGGCGCUACAUAAAUAAAAUUGAAUUGAAAAGGGUUAGUGUCUGUGAAUAGUCAACUGCCACUGACAACUGACUAAUCUGGACCAUUGAAACCACUGAAUAAGAGCCUAUUAUAUAUCAUGAUUAAAAAAAAUCUAAUGAAUGAUGAUAAACUAACCAUUUAUCUGCCUAGCCAGUUUAGGGAAAGUAAUAAAAUUAAGUGUUUUACAAUCACACUCGUUCAAACCCUUUUAAACAGAUUGGUUCAUAUACAAUGCAGUUCUGUUUGGUAUGUAGAAUACACCUUUCAUUAUGGCAAAACCUUUAAAUUGCCUAUAUUAUUGGUGUCACAAAAGAGAAACAGUGGAGACUGUAAUGAUUUCACGCGGGAAGCAUAGAGGCUUGCAAAGUGAAAGGCUGGAGUGGCAGUUUUAGCAAUUUUAUGAGUGGGGGUUCAGUGGAGAGGAGGAAACUGUUAUUUAGGUUUUUUCUAUAAAAUAAAUCAGAGAACACUGUGAUAGACUAAUGAAAUAUUAGCAGUAAUGCAUUGUAAACAGAUGCCAACUGCAGUUAAACCCCAGAGGAAGUGCUUGCAAAUACGUGGCUUCCUGAGGACACAACUUUCUGUUUCAUCACUAAUCCUCCAGCAUUGUUGUUUUGGUGGCGCAGGCUUCUUCCUUGAUACAUCUUCACAUCUUUUUUCAGUGCACCUCCAGGCUGAUCUUUUCAUUUUCCUGACAAAUAAAAACAACUGGACUGUCUGGAUCUGUGCUGGUGAAAGUUGGCACAAUGGCAAAACAAACAGGAUCAUUAGGUAAGAGAGUCCUGUUCAGCACAUCUGCAGCUGUUGAGCCGUCUCAUUUGUGAUGUUAAAAAUCUAUUCUGUCUCCCUUCAGUUUGCAUCUUAGUGCUUUUAUUCGUCACAGUCUUUGCUCAAGUGAUAGUUGGUAAGUGAGAGAAGCAGCACAUUCAGACUGAAUUUAUCUGAAUAUAUAUUACCAGUGCAUGUAGCAUGUGUUAUUUUUAUGAUAUUAUUAACAGAUUAGUUGCUUCACAUACAGAGAUAACAGGACCAGACAAUAGAAGAUGACAUGCAUAGUUGUAAGAAUACCAUAGCUUCCCUUUAUGCUCCUGCACUUUAACUAAUGAUGGUGCUGAAGGUGUUUUUGUCUUCUCCAGCCUGAAUUCCAAACAAAUUAGAUACAUAACAUCCGAGACUACCUCUCAGCAUCAGUAAGACGUCCCACACAUAUUGACACAUAUUGACUGUCUGCUUCACACUUUGUUUGUUAGGAUCUGAUCGCUCAAGAAAGCAGAAGUUGUAAAAGCUUAACAGUUGAAUUAAGAAAACUGUGACUCCAUGAGCGAGCCCUUCACUGUGUCCCCAACAAUACACCACACCAGUGUAGACUAGAUCAAAUAAACAGUUCAUGAGAAAAGCCAGAGGUUUAAUAAUAAGAUAGUCAUCAAACAGGUGACGUGCAAGAAGUUCUGGUGAUAUUUUGUCUUUGUGCCUAAAAGGUGGGGAGUACUUCAAGGACUGUCCAGGAAUUCCCUUCAUCCCUAUUUAUCUUUGUGGACCCAUCAUUGCCUUCUUUGCAUGGUGUAUGUACGGGUCAUGUAACCUGCUUUGUUGGUCCGUGACCACCGUCUUCUUCAUUUUCUGGUACAUUGCUGGUAAUGCAGUGAUCUACAGCAAUUAUAAACAACUUCAGAUUACAGACUACAGCUACUGCAGUCAGACACUCUACCUUUUUGCAUUUUGGAGCACCACUCUGACCAACGUCUUAUUAUUUAUUUGUUGUUGUUGCUAUUGUAAAGAAGAGGCAGAUGAGGUUGAUGUUCAAGUAUAAAUACACACAGAAGGUCAAAAUCAGUGUGUAUGCUGUCUAAUGAGUGUUUUUAUGGGAUAUGUGUAUUUAAAGCAUAUCAUCAAAUGGAUAAUACAUUAUAAUUGACGUGUAAAAUGCAGGAUUUAACAUGUUUAUGUUUUUGUAAAAAUGCUUUUGAUAUUAGCAUGAACUUGAGCUUUUGAUUCAUUAUUACAAAUAAUAUUUUCAGCACUUGAUUACAUGUGCACAUAAAACAGCAAGAUAUAGAUAAAUUAAGGGGGUCUCAAGACUUUUACUUAGUGCUUUAUUAACAACAGAAGUAUAGGAUUAUUGCAGAGAUAGUACCUGUAUUUAGCCUGUUAAUAGCAAAUAUUCAAUAAAAGCACCACAUAUCAAUAUUAGGCCCAGUUUACUUCCUUCUAUAUGUUAAUGAUUUUAUUUACUCCUCUAGUAUUUUAUAUAAAGUAAUGUUUGCUAAUAAUACAAAUCUGUUUUGUCUCAUGAAAACUAGAUAAUCUCCAACAUAUUAUACAUUUAAUAAGUUAUUGUUUGCAAAAAUUAAAAAAAAAAAGUAGUUGUAUUUAACUCAAACAGAAACUAGAAAAAUGUUGACAAUGUAUGUAUGCAGAAAAAUAGUAGUGUUAUCAAGAGGGUAAAAUCUGCAAUAUUUUUGGAAGGUUUGAUGACUUUGUGACUUCCAAGAGGCAAAUUGAUGGUUUUAUGAAAAAAGUUUCCAAAUAUGUUGGUUUAAUUUUUAAAAUUCAGAAAUUGUCCUGAAUGUGAAUCAUUGUGAUAAUUACAUGGUGUAAUAUGUGUCCUGCUCAUUUUAGGAGAUUGCAGACGUUACAAAAAGAGUUAUAUUUAGCUGUAUCAUGGUCCAAGGUAGAUCCCCCUAAUCCUCUUCUUCAUUACAGAUUUCUGAAGUUGU
Long non-coding RNA from Haplochromis burtoni (Burton's mouthbrooder), 2792 nucleotides. RefSeq lists it as uncharacterized. The record is from RefSeq and is a predicted model, not a curated record. The transcript has 4 exons. Lineage: Eukaryota; Metazoa; Chordata; Actinopteri; Cichliformes; Cichlidae.